Molecule: ribosomal RNA, 497 nt
Filed under: uncultured bacterium
Lineage: Bacteria
Description: partial 16S ribosomal RNA
Rfam family: Bacterial small subunit ribosomal RNA
Source: RNAcentral
GACGAACGCUGGCGGAGUGCCUAAUACAUGCAAGUUGAGCGCUGAAGGUUGGUACUUGUACCAACUGGAUGAGCAGCGAACGGGUGAGUAACGCGUGGGGAAUCUGCCUUUGAGCGGGGGACAACAUUUGGAAACGAAUGCUAAUACCGCAUAAAAACUUUAAACACAAGUUUUAAGUUUGAAAGAUGCAAUUGCAUCACUCAAAGAUGAUCCCGCGUUGUAUUAGCUAGUUGGUGAGGUAAAGGCUCACCAAGGCGAUGAUACAUAGCCGACCUGAGAGGGUGAUCGGCCACAUUGGGACUGAGACACGGCCCAAACUCCUACGGGAGGCAGCAGUAGGGAAUCUUCGGCAAUGGACGAAAGUCUGACCGAGCAACGCCGCGUGAGUGAAGAAGGUUUUCGGAUCGUAAAACUCUGUUGGUAGAGAAGAACGUUGGUGAGAGUGGAAAGCUCAUCAAGUGACGGUAACUACCCAGAAAGGGACGGCUAACUACGUG